Molecule: ribosomal RNA, 522 nt
Filed under: uncultured Sphingobacterium sp.
Lineage: Bacteria; Pseudomonadati; Bacteroidota; Sphingobacteriia; Sphingobacteriales; Sphingobacteriaceae
Also listed under: 1 other name
Description: bacterial SSU rRNA
Rfam family: Bacterial small subunit ribosomal RNA
Source: RNAcentral
GAGUUUGAUCGUGGCUCAGGAUGAACGCUAGCGGCAGGCUUAAUACAUGCAAGUCGAGGGGCAGCAUGAGUGUAGCAAUACAUUUGAUGGCGACCGGCAAACGGGUGCGGAACACGUACACAACCUUCCUUUGAGCGGGGAAUAGCCCGGGGAAACCCGGAUUAAUACCCCAUAGUAUGGUGAAGAGGCAUCUCUUUACUAUUAAAGAUUUAUCACUUAAAGAUGGGUGUGCGGCUGAUUAGGUAGUUGGCGGGUAACGGCCCACCAAGCCUACGAUCAGUAACUGGUGUGAGAGCACGACCAGUCACACGGGCACUGAGACACGGGCCCGACUCCUACGGGAGGCAGCAGUAAGGAAUAUUGGUCAAUGGACGAAAGUCUGAACCAGCCAUGCCGCGUGGAGGAUGAAGGUCCUCUGGAUUGUAAACUUCUUUUAUAUGGGACGAAAAAGGCCUUUCCAGGUCGUCUGACGGUACCAUAUGAAUAAGCACCGGCUAACUCCGUGCCAGCAGCCGCCGUAAC